This 449-nucleotide ribosomal RNA is filed under the name uncultured marine bacterium. Its description in RNAcentral is "bacterial SSU rRNA". It matches the Rfam family "Bacterial small subunit ribosomal RNA", at positions 907 to 1382 of the family's 1533-position model. The record is from RNAcentral.
UGAAUUGACGGACCGACAAGUAUGGACAUUGGUUAAUCCUGAUACGCGAGACCUUCCAACCUGACAUGUCGUCGCGACUCUAGGAUUAGAGUUCGGUCGGCCGGACGAACACAGGUGCUGCAUGGCUGUCGUCAAGCUCGUGUCGUGAGAUGUUGGGUUAGUCCGCACGACGCACCUCACUUUAGUGCCAUCAUUAAGUUGGGCACUCUGAAAGAACUGCCAGCGAUAAGCUGGAGGAAGGUGGGGAUGACGUCAAGUCCUCAUGGCCCUUACGUGUUGGGCUACACACGUGCUACAAUGGCAUCUACAACAGGAAGCAAAACGGCAACGUUAAGCAAAUCCCGAAAAGAUGCCUCAGUUCGGAUUGCACUCUGCAACUCGAGUGCAUGAAGCUGGAAUUACUAGUAAUCGUGGAUCAGCGUGCCACGGUGAAUGCGUUCCCGGGUCUU